RNAcentral lists this ribosomal RNA (255 nucleotides) under uncultured bacterium. RNAcentral's name for it is "partial 16S ribosomal RNA". It matches the Rfam family "Bacterial small subunit ribosomal RNA", at positions 524 to 776 of the family's 1533-position model. The record is from RNAcentral.
UACGUAGGGGGCGAGCGUUGUCCGGAUUUAUUGGGCGUAAAGAGCUCGUAGGCGGUUCGAUAAGUCGGGUGUGAAAUCUCCACGCUUAACGUGGAGGGUGCAUUCGAUACUGUCGUGACUAGAGUCCGGUAGAGGAGUGUGGAAUUCCUGGUGUAGUGGUGAAAUGCGUAGAUAUCGGGAGGAACACCAGUGGCGAAGGCGACUACUUGGCCUGUUUCUUGACGCUGAGGCGCGAAAGCUAGGGGAGCAAACGGG